CUUGGGUCUGAAGAGCGUUUUCCCACAUGACCCUGGCCGAAGAGGCAAUUUAGCUAGGUUGUCUCUGUUACUGAAACGUCUCGAAGGCAUUUGUUUCAACCCUUCUGAUCUAAGUAUACACCUGCGUAUUUCUACACUGAAAAAUAGAACCCGGGCUAGGACUAUCGAUUUUGUGAAAGAGCUCAAAACAUUAAAAGGUGCAGCCCACGCACCCAUGAGGCACUGACACUCAGAGAUGCACUCAAGCCAGGAUCACAUGCAAUAGUGAGGACUGGACACAUGGCUGGUUGGAAUUGGGAUGUGCUGUGUUUGCCACUGGAAUAACUUGGAGUCAGCCAGCCGUGUAUGCUACUUUCUGCCAAAGACUUUUGGGCCAUGGGGUUUCUUCACUACAAAAUACACUGCCGAAAGAUAACAGCAACAGAAGUCAUGUCAUGAAGCCGAGGAUCACUGGGGGAAAUGCGAAUCCACAGGCCUUCAGAUCUGAGGCAGCAUUCUCAAAUGCUGAAGUCAUCUCCUAUCCACCCGAGGCCCUCAGAUCUGCACAUCGAUGUAUGAAAUUGGAGGCUAAUAUGCAGAAUGAGUCCUUCCUAUCCCAGAGCAAUUGUGCUUAGUCUGUAUGGCUUGGGUGGAGUUUCCUUCCACCUCCCAUCCCACAAGAAAAGUCACGUGGCCUGGCCUUCAUCAGUUCCAGCAGGUAUUCCAAGAUUCUUUGCAGUGAUUGGCUCAGAGAUAUGUAGCAAUUGUUGACAUUUGGAGUUUCUUGACUCUCUUUGAUUGCAACUUUCUGUGCCCUGUUGCAAUAAAAUUCAGUUAAUACAGUAAUUAGUAUUCUGU
This 837-nucleotide long non-coding RNA is filed under the name Bos indicus x Bos taurus (hybrid cattle). Its description in RNAcentral is "lncRNA (ENSBIXG00005009411.1)". The record is from RNAcentral. Lineage: Eukaryota; Metazoa; Chordata; Mammalia; Artiodactyla; Bovidae.